UACGUAGGGUGCAAGCGUUGUCCGGAAUUACUGGGCGUAAAGCGUGCGUAGGCGGUUCGUUAUGUCUGCUGUGAAAGCCCCGGGCUUAACCUGGGAAUGGCAGUGGAAACUGGCGGGCUUGAGUGUGGCAGAGGGGGGUGGAAUUCCGCGUGUAGCAGUGAAAUGCGUAGAGAUGCGGAGGAACACCGAUGGCGAAGGCAGCCCCCUGGGCUGACACUGACGCUGAGGCACGAAAGCGUGGGGAGCAAACAGG
RNAcentral lists this ribosomal RNA (253 nucleotides) under uncultured bacterium. RNAcentral's name for it is "partial 16S ribosomal RNA". It matches the Rfam family "Bacterial small subunit ribosomal RNA", at positions 524 to 776 of the family's 1533-position model. The record is from RNAcentral.